CCUACGGGAGGCAGCAGUGAGGAAUUUUGCGCAAUGGCCGCAAGGCUGACGCAGCAACGCCGCGUGGGUGAAGAAGGCCUUCGGGUCGUAAAGCCCUGUCAGGUGGGAAGAAUGGUCGGGGGAUGAAUAAGCCUUCGGCGUGACGGUACCACCAGAGGAAGCACCGGCUAACUCCGUGCCAGCAGCCGCGGUAAUACGGAGGGUGCAAGCGUUAUUCGGAAUUACUGGGCGUAAAGCGCGUGCAGGCGGGCCUGCAAGUCUGAUGUGAAAGCCCCGGGCUUAACCUGGGAAGUGCAUUGGAAACUGCAGGUCUUGAGUGCUGGAGAGGAAGGGGGAAUUCCCGGUGUAGAGGUGAAAUUCGUAGAGAUCGGGAGGAAUACCAGUGGCGAAGGCGCCCUUCUGGACGGCAACUGACGCUGAGACGCGAAAGCGUGGGGAGCAAACAGGAUUAGAUACCCCUGUAGUC
This 466-nucleotide ribosomal RNA is filed under the name uncultured bacterium. RNAcentral's name for it is "bacterial SSU rRNA". It matches the Rfam family "Bacterial small subunit ribosomal RNA", at positions 338 to 795 of the family's 1533-position model. The record is from RNAcentral.